RNAcentral lists this ribosomal RNA (674 nucleotides) under uncultured fungus. RNAcentral describes it as "eukaryotic LSU rRNA". It matches the Rfam family "Eukaryotic large subunit ribosomal RNA", at positions 24 to 664 of the family's 3401-position model. The record is from RNAcentral. Lineage: Eukaryota; Fungi.
CCCGCUGAACUUAAGCAUAUCAAUAAGCGGAGGAAAAGAAACUAACAAGGAUUCCCCUAGUAACUGCGAGUGAACCGGGAAGAGCUCAAAUUUUGAAUCUGGCGGUCUUUAGGCCGUCCGAGUUGUAAUCUAGAGAAGCGUCUUCCGCGCUGGACCGUGUAUAAGUUUCCUGGAAAGGAACGUCGUAGAGGGUGAAAAUCCCGUCUUUGACACGGACUCCCAGGGCUAUGUGAUGCGCUCUCGACGAGUCGAGUUGUUUGGGAAUGCAGCUCAAAUAGGGUGGUAAAUUCCAUCUAAAGCUAAAUACAGGCGAGAGACCGAUAGCGAACAAGUACCGUGAGGGAAAGACGAAAAGAACUUUGGAAAGAGAGUUAAACAGUACGUGAAAUUGCUGAAAGGGAAACGCUUGAUGUCAGUCGCGUUGGCCGGGGAUCAGCCUUGCUUAAUCGCGAGGCGUACUUCCUGGUCGACGGGUCAGCAUCAGUUUUGACCGUCGGAAAAAGGGCUUUGAGGAAGUGGCACUCUCUCGGGAGUGUGUUAUAGACUCGGGUCUUGAAUACGAUGGUUGGGACUGAGGAACUCAGCACGGCCCUUUGGGUAUCGGGGCUUCGGCCCACGUUCGCGUGCUUAGGAUGCUGGCAUAAUGGCCUUAAGCGACCCGUCUUGAAACACGG